Equus asinus (donkey) is the source of this 1508-nucleotide long non-coding RNA. The record is from Ensembl. Lineage: Eukaryota; Metazoa; Chordata; Mammalia; Perissodactyla; Equidae.
GUUUCUGGUAGCUCUGUGAUUCUUCCCUCGUUCAGAUCCCUGCUAUCCUCCCCCAAUCUCCAGCAUCACCUUUAGGGCCCCAAGUCACACUGAGGGGUCCACUGCUUUCAUGCAAGGCCAGCCCUGCUUAUUUGUUUUUUUUCUAACAUUUUGGAGUGAAGUCUCUGAAGACAUUUGGAAAAGGAUAACUCAUAGCCUGCAUGAAUUCAACAAAUGACCUAAGUUCUCUAGAAUGGAACAUGACUGCAUUGUUUAUAUUUUGUUUUUUAUUUUGUUACCAGGCAAUCAGUAUGGACUCUGUUGGAAUGUAAUGUGUCAAUUUGGUUUCAUGCCUCAUCACACUGGCAGACAGAAGAGGGUAAUGGCUGCUUUGGGGAGUGGAGGAAGCCAAAAAGAAGGCAAAGAGUGAAGACAGAGAAACAAGAUGUCAGUGGUGGUGCUGAGAAGGAAUAGAGAGACUUUUCUUCUUGUUAAGGGCCGCAGAGGGAGGAAUCCAGCUGAGGACUACACAGGGGCAUCUGGCUUCAGGAAUAACAGAUCAAAUGGUGACGAACUCCUUCAAAAUGUGACAACUUGGACAAAAGUCUGCUUAAAUCUUUCUGGAUGCAAACGAAUUUUGCCCUUGUGUGUAGAAACUAGUCCUAGCACAGAGAGAAGGGAAUUCAAUUUGGAUCUCAAGACCCCAGAGGAAGCCCUGGAUUUGCUCCUUACUGGCUGUGUGAUCUUAGGGCAGCCAGAUGAAGACAGCUGAGAAGAGGAGGCCCAGUUGCAGGAAUGGGCCAAGUACUUGUGGAGGGCAGUGAAAUCAAUGGUUUGCUUCAGGCAGAAAAAAGAACAUGAAAUGGGCAACUGGGCAUUGUUUAAGCUGUUGGUUCACAUCAAGGAGCAACAAUACUAAAGAACUGGUAGAGAGAAGGCUCUAGAAACAGGAACUAUUGGCAGGCUAGACCAAGUGCACCAAAAGUAUUUCAAAACUUUUGAGAUUAAGUGCUAGUUCAUGUCUGAGUAACACAAAACCAACAGACUGUGGCUUGGGAACCACAGCAUCAUUCUUAUGAAGGAAUUCUGGGAAAAGCUCAAGAGCUUCUCUCUCUGAGACUGUCUGCAGGCAUGCAAAUAGUGAUAAAUAUGUUUGGUCUUCUACACAUUUGCUAAAAUCUAAGCUCUGGAUGCCAGGAAACCUAGGAGAGCUGGGUUUGUUUUUUCAAAAAUAAUCACCAUUACAUUUUUGAUCACUGAAGAUGCAGACUUAUUGGAAAAAGAAUGUUUGAUUACCGAAAUGUACAGAAAGUGAGAGUUUCCCAUAAUCAACCACCCCCAUAACCACUGUUAACCAAUGUAUCUAUGCAAUUAAUUGUGUUUUUACAAAAAUGAGAUAAUAUUGUAUAUGUUGUGUGAUUUCAAUUAAAAGUGUCUUUUAUCUCAAUACUUAGAGACAAUUUUCAGUCUUAAUCUUCUUCCUUAACAAACCAACGAAAACAAGAUGUGUAUUUCCUAGUGUACUGAUU